GCAGUCUGCAACUCGAGUGCAUGAAGCUGGAAUCGCUAGUAAUCGCGGAUCAGAAUGCCGCGGUGAAUACGUUCCCGGGUCUUGUACACACCGCCCGUCACACCAUGGGAGUCGGGAAUGCCCGAAGCCGGUGGCCCAAUCGAAAGAAGGGAGCCGUCGAAGGCAGGCCGGAUGACUGGGGUGAAGUCGUAACAAGGUAGC
This 201-nucleotide ribosomal RNA is filed under the name uncultured bacterium. RNAcentral's name for it is "partial 16S ribosomal RNA". It matches the Rfam family "Bacterial small subunit ribosomal RNA", at positions 1300 to 1500 of the family's 1533-position model. The record is from RNAcentral.